CUGUCGGUCCUCGAGAACGGAGCCUGCGCCCUGGCAUGUCCUGUUCGGGACCAGAACUUCGAAAACCGAACGGCCGGGGCGUCUCGGUUUCGGUCUCGGUUCCUAGGGUUCGGGACGCAUCUCGUUACACCCGACCCGUUAGUACGAGCUGGAUCUUUACCCCGUGACGACAUUCCGCCGGAAAGAAGUGGAACCGUGUGUGAUUUUAGCCGCCGUGUAUCUGUGGUCGGACCGGAUGAACGUUGCCACCGCCGCCGUUCCAGCAGCAGUAGUGUAUUUUGGGUGCCCCUCCCGGGAGCUGCGAGAAGAAGCUGGUCAGGACGGUCAAUCAGGUGGCAUGGAUCAAUCGCGCGCGUAGAUCCCGAGUCCCGGUUGAUUUAGGGGUGGAUUGGGUCUUUUGAUUCCGAAUCACUACGGGAGGGAAAAUCUGAUUUCUGCUUUGCGGGUAAGACGGGAAAAACACACCAAUACCAGUGCAUGGGCAGAUGAGGAAAACGGAUGAAAAGCGUCGCACACUGGUGACCCAGUACGAGUGGCUGCGAUACGGAGAGUGAGAAAACAUGUGAAAGGUGGAAAACGUAAAAAGAGAGAGUGCACUGUGUGAAGGGUGAUAGUUUUUUGCAAAAAGGAUGCUGCCGUUACCCCGGCGAUAUCAUGAAGGAUAGCUGACGCCGUUUCGAUAACUUAGAAUUCCGAUAUUGUGAUUGCGGCUAUUGUGAAGAUCUUGGAGGCUGAAGCCUAGGGUACGAAGAACUUUCCAACGAGUGUGUUUCGCGGAUGUGUUAGUGCGAGUAAAAUUCUUCCUCCGUGAAUUCGAGAGGGAUGCUGUAGAGAUAUGCGGAAAAUCAGCGUGUGCCCCACUGUGGCUUUGGGGUGAGAGUUGGGAAAAUUUCGGAACACCAAUACAGCACCAGCAGACGAGGCUGGACCAAGGCUAUAGAAGAGGCACCUUUUGGGUGGCGAGAGCAAGUGUCAGGAGAGAGUGCCAGUCAGGCAGCGGCGAUGCUUUUGACAUCUGGAAGAGUUUUCCAAUAGAGUGGCUGGUGUUGUGUGUUGUGAAGCUAUUCGAGGAGUGUUUAGAGCGCUAGGCAGGCGGAAAACGAGUCCUCCAGGAAUCGACGACUCCGGUGUUGUUGUUGUUUCCGUCGUAAAAUGUCAACGCAAUACGAGUGAAGGCACAAUUACUGUCCCUGCGGUUGUCCCAAAUUGCUCUACGCGUUGGAAGAAAUGUGGGUGGAUUCUGUGCGAGGCCGCGAGUGAGCUAGCUGAUGGAAGAUUUAUGAUUCACAGAGUUUUGCCGAAACAUACGAAAAGCGUUGCUUGGGCAGCAGCGGUCACAGAGUUAACGAUGGUUCGAAUGCGACGUCGAUGUCGGCGGUGAUAACGCCAAUGGGUGUCCGCAUAAAAGGGGGUGUAUACAGUGAAACAACACCGAAGCUAUUAACGAUCCGAAAUCCGUAGAAUAUCGUGUGAAACGCAGUGCAAAUUACGCAAUGUGCAGCUAUUCGAUGGAAAUACGCACCCUGAUAAAUCGUAUCUUGAUUGGCGUGCAUUAGUGCUACUUGCCUUCCAGGCAAACUGUUGUCAUAAUUUGUCUUCUAUUCCCUUCGGAUUUAUAUGCCACGAUACCGACCCCAGAGCCUGAAGGUUGUAAGCUUUGUGCAGUGAGAUAAAUCUGAUCGUUUUCGUCGCAAUGCACUGCUGAUGAGAUUUCCUGGAGCGUCGAGUGUGUUACUUUCUCCUUCCACUAUCAGUAUUAUAUUGUAAAUGCAUCGUAACGAAAGUCAUUAUCUGCUAGGAGAAUAAGUUCAGUGUCAGUGAAUCACGUACCUCCAAAGUAGGAUUAAAGUGAAUCAUCAUCGGUUCGGUAGUGUUAUUUCUCAUCAUUCGAUAGCUUUAACUACAACUAGGAAUACCAAAAUGAGUCAUCAUCAAAGGUUGCAGAUUCAGACGGCUCUAACAAUUCUAUCAGGUAUGAUGCCAUUUGUUGCUGACUCUCGUGGAGGAUUUGUUGAAACACGUAAAGACUGGUUGCAAAAUUGAACAGGUUGGAGGCAUUCGAACUGGUAUGUAGAGUUGGACUUGGAUAGCAAAUAUCUCCAGAGUUUAAUGGCAUCUAAAAAAAAUGAUGGGAAUAUAUUUGUUACACACGGUGACCGCGUAUUCGGUACGAUAAAGUUGGAACUGAAAAACAACUAAAGUAGCUCUUUCUCUUUCAUGUUGUGCCGAUCAAGUGUAUCAUCGAUGUAUUACUCCCACCUUUUAAACACCGUCCAUCUCAAUCGUUUAGCUUCUGGUGUGUGAAGAAUCAGCUGUAGUCAAAAUUCACAAAAAAAUGGUUGAACUUCUGUGAUUAUUGUAAAUGGUACAGCAUUUGAGCUUUGGCAGAGCCGGGAAAACAAAUUCUUGGAACAAUUCCCAAAAAGGGUUGAUGAGGGAAUGAAUCGUUGUUGCCGUGCUUUUUGAUUCAUAGAAGAGGCAAAUGGAUUUCACAGUCUUCGAAACAAGAAUGAUUGUCAGCUAUAUUCCCGAUGUCUUGGCUUGGGGAUUGUGCCUUUUUCAAGGGUCGUAAUGUUUACCGUCUAUCUUUUUUUGAGUUUUUACAGAAGCAAUGCACUUCUGAGUUGCUUUUUAUGUAUACGUGUUGCUAUUCUAUUUUUUUUUUAAUUUUAUAUAAUUCGCUUUGCACUGGACAAUUCUUUCAAAACAGUCGUAAUCACCGCACAGUGAAUUAUAUACAAUUAAAAUAAUAUAAAACAACAACACGUUUACAUAAAAUGCCACCCAGAAGAGCAUUCCAUAUGGAAAACUUGAAAAAUAAUAGUCGAUAGACACUACGAUCCUAGAAAAGGCCAAAGCCCCAGGCCGAAACGUCGGGAAUGUAGAUGCAAAUCGUUCGUCCUUUACACCGAGUUUCCAGUCGUAAAACUCCAUAGUUUGAUAUACGCUCAUCAGCAUUUUCCUCUAAUCUGGUGUGUCCAAGAAGGUUUAAAAUAAAAAAUCCUGGAGGAGAUCACGAAAGGCUAAUUAAAGGUAGUCUUUAAAUGGCAAACUUCAGAACUAAACCUUUAUUUUGGAUUUUUUACCAAAAUUUCUAUAAAACUUCAACUUGAUUCCAUGUGGAGAAUGCCGGGAUUUUUUUUUAUUUGAGGCGUAUUGGUAUGAGAAAUCUUUGGCCUAUGAGCAAAUAAAUUGCAUAUGGGAAUUAUUAAUGGAAGUUACGAGUGGCUUGUUGUUUUGUCUUAAAAGUACUUCUUGAGAGGCUUCUCAAAUAUUUGGUAGAAUUAUGGAGUAAUCAGAAAUUUUACAAUAUUUUCUUUAAGGCUGUCUGGAACAAUUGCUAGCUAGGAGAACUUACAUAUUUUCGCAGAUGUUGUUCUCUUCGUCAUGUUUUUUAAAACCUCUCAAAGUUGGCUUAAAAUUUUCCUAUCCAAGCUGAAUUAUACGACCAAGUUUUGGGACAUUAGGUCGAAAAAAGCCGCAUAUGACGAAGAGAACAAAUCUGCUGAUAUGUAAUACCAAAAACUAAUUUGUUUUAAAAAAUCCGAUCAGGUUUUUAGUUUUGAAAUACUAUUUUUUCUCGGAAUUCCAAAAUAGUAUUUUUUCGAUUCCAACUAAAAUUUCAAAAGUAAGUUCACCAGGAUUUGUUUUUGAGUAAGUAUUUUUCGCAGAUCAACAGUUUUAUAAAUCUUCCUAAAAUUGUAGUUUUUUAAGCCAUCGAUUGCUGUUCAGAUGCAUUUGAAGACCCUCUGAAUUUAUUUCGAGAUUCUCAUAUGAUAAUUUGCCUGGAAACUCGAAAUUUUCCCCCAGGAAUUCAUGCGAAAGCUUUUUAAGAAAUGAGAUUCUCCCAGUAAUUGAUGUUGACGUCUUGAAGCAGUUUAUUCAUUUUUAUUCGUCUUUAUUUAAACAAAAAAUCCUCCAAAAAACAGUUUUGAAUAUCCAGAAAAAAACAACAGGAAAUCAUCCAAGAUUUAUUAUUUAAGUUCCACGCGUACUUUGCGGAAAUACAGCAGAAACUAAGCAGUUUACCUUUUCAAAAUGGAUAAAGAGAUUUCAGCAAGGUGUUGCUGUAGUGAUUAUUCAAGGAAUCCCUUCACAGUGGAAUAAUGCUUUCAAAAUCACAAGAUUAAUUUAUAAAAUAUUUAACAGGUUCUACCAAACACUAUUAUUUUGUUUUGGAAAAUAAUAUCUUCUUCAAUGUACAAGGAGUGGCCAAAAUGUUUGGGAUAGGCAACUUUUUUUCUCUCACAAAAAAAUCAACAAGCUGUAACUUUUCAUAGAGUGCAUCAAAAAUUCUCAAAUCUUGACUGCUUGUCAACCUGUUAUAUGUGCAGGUAGGUACAAAUUUGGGCUCGUUUGGUUAAUCUUUCACG
Molecule: long non-coding RNA, 4373 nt
Organism: Aedes albopictus (Asian tiger mosquito)
Lineage: Eukaryota; Metazoa; Arthropoda; Insecta; Diptera; Culicidae
Exons: 3
Source: RefSeq, a predicted model, not a curated record